AAGACAGUGAGGAAGGCAACAGACAACUUGUUCAAGAAAUUUAACUCUGGAGGGGAGAAGGGGCAAGGAAGUAGACAGGGGAGGAUGUGAGGUUGAAAGAUGGUAUUUUAUUUUUCACACUGGAGAGACUAGAACUUGGUUAUAGCCUGAUAAGGCGAGCCAGCAGACAGGAAAGUUUUUGAAAAAGGAGGGAGCCCGAGAAAGUAGGAAGCGAUGGGAGGGAGGUUCCAGAAGAAGAAACUGGCCUUAAAUUUGAUAACAGCUCUUCCUCUGGUACAGAAGAAAGUGGUCAAGGAGGCCGAGGUGGAAGGAUAGGUUGAGACCAGGAGUUUGAGACCAGCCUGCACCAUAGCAAGACACUGUCUCUACACAAGCAAAAUACAAACUGGUUUUGCGUGAUGUAGUUCCAGCUACUUGGGAGGCUGAGGUGUGAACCCUGAAAAUCUGAGACAGGUUCCAGUAAACUUAGAAAGUUUAUUUUGCCAAGGUUGAGGAUGCACACCCGUGACACAGCCUCUUAAACUGAACCUUGGGAGUUCCUGACACCGUGUGGCCAAGGUGGUAGGGGGAGAGUUUGGUUUUCUACAUUUUAGGAGACAUGAGACCUCAAUCAAUAUGUGUAAGAUGAACAUCGGUUCAGUCUGGAAAGGCUGGACAAAGCGGGACAACUCCAAGCAAGGAGGGGCUUCAAGUCACAGUAGAUGGGAGACAAACAGUUGCAUUCUUCUGAGUUUCUGAUGAGCCUCUCCAAAGGAGGCAAUCAGAUAUGCAUCUAUCUCAGUGAGCAGAGGGGUGACUUUGAAUAGAAUAGGGGGCAGGUUGCCCUGCUUGACUUUUCCCUUUAGCUUAGUCAUUUUGGGACCACGAGAUGUAUUUUC
RNAcentral lists this long non-coding RNA (878 nucleotides) under Homo sapiens (human). Its description in RNAcentral is "HSALNT0025196". The record is from RNAcentral. Lineage: Eukaryota; Metazoa; Chordata; Mammalia; Primates; Hominidae.